AUGGAGGCGGCGGAGGUGCCGGACGUGCCGGAGGAUCCGACCAUCAUGCUUGUCCAGAAGAUCAGCUCAGAGACGUGGCUGAAUCGCCACGUCAAAGCGACGGCCGCAAAGGAGGAGAAGAUGAGGAAGCAUCUGGCCGCCGGUGGGCCUGGUGGUGGCGAUGGUCCCGGCCGACAAGGCGGACUGGGCGGUCGGCGAGGCCCUGGCGGACGCCGCCAGACGGCCGCGCCCAUAGUGCUAACGGCGCCGUGGCCAGAGCCUUACAAUUCUCCAUACUACUACGCCGCCAAUUCGGAGGGCGCCAAGAUGUGA
RNAcentral lists this ribosomal RNA (312 nucleotides) under Triticum aestivum (bread wheat). Its description in RNAcentral is "partial small subunit ribosomal RNA". The record is from RNAcentral. Lineage: Eukaryota; Viridiplantae; Streptophyta; Magnoliopsida; Poales; Poaceae.